This 25-nucleotide non-coding RNA is filed under the name Mus musculus (house mouse). Lineage: Eukaryota; Metazoa; Chordata; Mammalia; Rodentia; Muridae. The record is from RNAcentral.
UUAAGCACGGCAGGCCUUGAUCAGA